This 153-nucleotide ribosomal RNA is filed under the name uncultured fungus. RNAcentral's name for it is "5.8S ribosomal RNA". It matches the Rfam family "5.8S ribosomal RNA". From Rfam's summary of the family: 5.8S ribosomal RNA (5.8S rRNA) is a component of the large subunit of the eukaryotic ribosome. It is transcribed by RNA polymerase I as part of the 45S precursor that also contains 18S and 28S rRNA. Lineage: Eukaryota; Fungi. The record is from RNAcentral.
UUCNACAAUGGAUCUCUUGGUUCCGGCAUCGAUGAAGAACGCAGCGAAGCUGCGAUAAGUAAUGUGAAUUGCAGAAUUCAGUGAAUCAUCGAGUCUUUGAACGCACAUUGCGCCCCCUGGCAUUCCGGGGGGCAUGCCUGUCCGAGCGUCAUU